Molecule: ribosomal RNA, 420 nt
Filed under: uncultured archaeon
Lineage: Archaea
Description: bacterial SSU rRNA
Rfam family: Archaeal small subunit ribosomal RNA
Source: RNAcentral
CAGCCGCCGCGGUAAACCCAGCUCUUCAAGUGKUCGGRAUAUUUAUUGGGCUUAAAGUGUCCGUAGCUUGUCUAAUAAGUUCCUGGUAAAUCUARUAGCUUAASUAUUAGUACUGCUAGGAAUACUGUUAUACUAKAGGGCGGGAGAGGUUUGAGGUACUUCAGGGGUAGGGGUGAAAUCCUAUAAUCCUUGRAGGACCACCAGUGGCGAAGGCGUCAGACURGAACGCGCCUGACAGUGAGGGACGAAAGCCAGGGGAGCGAACCGGAUUAGAUACCCGGGUAGUCCUGGCCGUAAACGAUGCACACUAGGUGUUGGUAUGGCUAUGAGCCAUAUCAGUGCCGAAGGGAAACCAUUAAGUGUGCCGCCUGGGAAGUACGGUCGCAAGGCUAAAACUUAAAGGAAUUGGCGGGGGAGCAC